CUCUUUUGCCUUCCAGUCAGAAACUCCAAAAGUUGUACAAAACUUUCAAGUUGUUUCCGUAGUAGAUAAUUGGCAAGAGAUGACAAUUCUAAGUAUGAGGUUUUCUAUCCAAAUCUCUUGUUUACACUUCCUUCUCCAUAUUAUUUUACUUAUUCCUACCCUCACAAUUCCAAUGUUAUUAUUCAUAAAGUCAUCGUAUGAAAUGGAGACUUCGAAAUCAUUCACGAAUGACAAAAUCUUUAUUUUGAGAAGAACUCAAAAUUUUUAAUAUCAACUUAAACCUUGCCAUUUUUCUUCUCCUUUGAAAAAUUUGAUAUCUCUUUUAGAACCAAAAAAAAAAAAAAAAAACAAACAAACAAGUGUUGCCAUUUUGUCCCCUAAAGAUUUCCCUCUAAACAAUCGACCUUGUUUUUCCUUUUUUUAUUCAUUUGUAUACUUUUUUUUUCUUUGAUAAAAAUAGGAGUGGACAGUCAAAGGAUUGUAACGGUAGAACUUAUAAUGUGCAAGUUAAUGUCCUCAAUUGUUUUCGUUUUAUUUAAGCUUCCCAUUGAACUGCACUCAUGUUUUUUCCAACUGAAAGUACGCUGCAAAUGAAAUACCACACUUAACAGUAUGGAGCAUUUCUUAAAGCUUAAAAUAACGUGGUCGAUUACAACACCUCAGCUUGAUAUCUCUUUUGAACAGUAACUCUAUUUGUCUCUCAAUAAUGACAUCUAAAAAAGUGUCUAAAAUUUUCUUCAUCAACACUUAUAUACAUUUAUGUGAGUUUUGGAGGUAGCCUUUUGUCCAGUGGUUGACUAACACCGGAUGGUUUUAUUUUUAACACACAUGCACUUACAUUGAAAACAAACUUCUAGUUUUAUUUACUAAAAAGGUAAAUAGACAUCCAUUAGUACUUAAUAUAAGAAGAUCUCAUUAGUGUAUGGAUUUUAGUUUUCUAAGAAAAAUUUUUAUGUUUUCUUUCAAUAUAUUUUCUAAUCAUUUUUCAUCUUACAUACAUCAAAUCGUUAUAAUAUAUUUUUCUAUAAAAAUUUCAAAAAAUAAUAAUCCAAAUGGGACUAUUUUAUAACAAUCAAUAAUAAGCUUUUUAAACUUAUAGUUAGCAUGAAAUUAGUCAUAUUAAUGUGAUUAAGGAUUAUGUUUAGACUUGUUGAUAGUGACUUAUGCCAUGACACAUCUACGUCUCUACACGUUGGAUAUUGCUUUUUAUGUUUCCCUUUUUUUUUUCCUCUAUAUUUAUUCCCUCUUCCCCCUCCUUAGAAAAUGGGAAAAAAAGGAAGGGUUAUAUCUAGAUUAAAGGUUUUUUGAAUUUUUUUUGUUCAUUUAUUGAAAUAAUUUUUGUGACAUAAUGUAUGUAACAUAAAAAAAUAUCUAGAGACGUGCUCAAGUAAUAAUAGAAACAAUUUUCUAAAUAAUUACUAAACCUAUUUUUUUAUUUUUUUAAACAUCCCUAUUCGAACAAAAAAAAAAGCUUUUAUAGGAGUAUUUCAUUCUUCAAGAAAAAAAGGAAAGAAAAUUACUGUUAGAGGGUCUAGACUCUAACUUAGGAAAGGGAUAAUUUCAUAAACCUCCUUGAGGUUUUCGACAAUUUCAUAUAAAUACCCUCAAAUAUUAGAAAUUACACUGACCUCCUCUGUUCAGGUAGACAUGACCAAAUGUCAUCAUUAAGAGCCUUCAAAUGACCAAAUUGCCCUCAAAAACUUGUGCCAACAAAUAUCGAAAAUAUGAGAAAAAGAAAUUGCUUUAAAAUAUAAUUUUGUUCGGCUACUUGGUACCAAAUAAUUGGAGGUAUAUAUAUGCUUAAAGCGCCACGUAGCACUUGUAAUAGCAUUAUUUGAAAAAAAAAACCAAAAUAGUUUUAAAAAAAUCAGGGGACUAGAGCCUUAGUGGUUUUGUGAUACUUCAUUUAUUGAAAGAUUUUGUGCAAAAAAGUGACUAAUAUACCACAAUUUAGGUUCUAUCAAAAUCACUCGAGGUGAAAGAUCACAACUUUUUUGGUUUAUUAAACUUACUUACAGGUUUUUUAAGUAUUGAUUGUUAUUUAUCAUGUUAAUGUCGCCUAAUACUUAUCAUGGAUAUAAUUUAAACAUUUUAGAAGAUUAUAUGCUGUACUUGCGAAUGUACCUCAGACUGAUGGCAAUCUUUUUCUUUUAUUUUAUUGGCACUUUCCUCAUCAAAAGUGUUAAUUGUUUUCUUCUAGAGAAAAGGAGGAUAAAUUUGAAAGAAUAUUGCGUGUCCGUAGUUUUGUUUCACUUUUGAGGUUAUUUUUUAUGACAGGGAUUGACUUUAUUGUUAAAUAUAUCAAUCAAAGAGGGAUCAGUGUGAUUUUUAAUAUUAGAGAGUAUUUAUGUGAAAUUAUCAGAAACUGCUAGCGAGGUUUCUAAAAUUAUCCCUUUAGAAAAAGAUACCCAUAUAGUGGUUUGUUUGGAUUGUGUUUUAUUUCCCCAAUUUUAUCUGCUUACAUCAUCAUUACAAUUUUCAAUACAUUUUUUUAUCUUCCCAAUUACUUUUUUAUCUCACACACAUCACAUCACAAAAAAUGUUACCGUAAAAAUAUUCCAAAUAAAACACAAUCCAAAUAAACCCGUAUUUGUAAAGCCAAACCAGCGUCGUUUGACUUGUGAGAAAGGCGCAGGAACUCAAAAGUCAAAAUGACGGAAAUGCACUGGCACUCGAAGUUCUUCUUCAGUACUGGUAAAUGAAGGCGUGAAACUUUACAUUUCAACGAAUUAUUAGUUGUUUGGUACUGGUCAACCGCAACCUUUUUAUAUUGGCUGCGGCAGAUUCCAGUAUUUCGGCCUCCGUUCGACUCGUGACUCACUGGCUCAUUCAUCAUCAUCAUCGUCAAUCUUCUCAUCACUUUCUCUCUCUCUUUCUAACAUAAUUAGGUUUUACUCAGGUACCGUUUUCCAGCCUCUCUGAAAUUAAUUUAUCUCCUAAUCAAUUUCAGUUCUUAACAAAUUCGUAAUUUUUUUUUGUUAAUUUUAGUCAUGCUUGAUCUCUACACCUUUUUCAUUUAUGUGUAUUGAUGUUAAUAUUCGUAAAUUUUGCUUUAGUGAUUCGUACAGUAAUUAAUACAAAAAAUUUGAUUACGUGAAAUUUUUUUUUUGUGUUGUAGGUGAGCAGUAAUGGUCUUCUUCCGGAGCGUUUCGCUGCUAUCGAAGCUGCGGUCUCGUGCUGUAAGUUUAUUUUUUCCACUUUGAUAUAACAGUCAUGCGCAUAAGAGUUAAUUUUUUUUGGUGAUUAAUGUGUUUAAUAAAUAAAUGUUGCAAAGGUGAUGAGCUUUUUUGAAAAAAAAUUUUAUUUUUGUUGGUUUCACUUGGAAUUAUUUGAUAGGUUCGACAGCCUAAUCUGAGCAAUUCAGUUCGCUGGCUUCAAAUUCAGACCUCUUCUCCUGAUCUGGUAAUUCUUCUUUUUAUUGUGGUAUUUUCCUUAAUAUUGAUGUUUUUAUGCGUUAAUUGAUUUGUGUUUAUUCGUUUUAAAAUGGAAAAUUGGUGUCGUUUGUAUUUUCUGCUUCAAGCGGAAUCUUUUGAUUGAAUUUCAAAGGAAAUAAAAACAAACAAAACUCGAAAUUCAUUUAUUUCCCUUUUGAGAUGCAAAAAUGUGUUGGAUCCAGUAUGGUAAAAAGUUGCAUUUCCUGUCAUGCCUGAUGAAUGCUGAACAAAUGUUUAAACUUUGGACAAAUCACCUCCAUUUAAGUUGUCGCUUGUGGAGUUUGGUGCUUGCUCUUCUGCAUAAGAAUCUCUGCAAUGAACUGAAUCCUUUAUGUAAAAUUUUUAAAAGACUGUUACUGGAAGCUUUGAUUUCACUAAUUGGCAUAUCAUCUACAAAACUGCAGGUGGUUCUCUCUGUCUUUCCAUUGUAGUCUUGCCAUUUUCUGUGGUAAUGUUCUUUUGUGUAUAUGUGGCACUCUAAUUUCUUCUGUCUUUGGCGUAGGAUCUUCGCUCUCAGCUAAAGGACCUGAUUCCAGAACAACAGGUGCUCAUUCACAUUGUUUUGCGUCUCCGGAUUUGAUAUCAAACCACUUUGUUGUAAAUUUGACUUUUCUAAUUUACUUUGAGUUUUCAGAAUUUUUUGUAUUAGCACCUGAAAUAUUCAGUUGUCUACAUUAGGUCUUUUUUCUGUUAUGGGUACUAGAACACCAAAUUUUAUAUUGAUACAAUCUGGCAGUUGCAUCCUGGGGUUGGAUUUUCACACGAUCAAGAAGUGUGAGUAUUGAUUUGUGAUAGCUGUGUUUAUUUGUUUACCUUUUUAUGGUUACAGGAUCGGCUGAAAAAACUCAAGUCAGAACAUGGAAAAGUUCAUCUGGGAAAUAUUACAGUUGAUAUGGUAAAAAUCUCCUGUUCUCUUCGUGAACUGGAAGUAGCUGACUACAUCAUUCUUAUUUAGAUGAUUUAUCACAUAAGAUCUAUUAUAAGAUUUUGUCAUGCAUGUUGGAAGGUACUCGGUGGCAUGAGAGGAAUGACAGGAUUACUUUGGGAAACUUCAUUGCUAGACCCUGAUGAGGUGGGAUUACUUUGGGAAACUUGACUGCUUCUUGUAUAGAAGUAUAUUUUUGGUCUUUUUUUUAUGUGGUUUUUUCCAUUUUUAUCAUUGUUUUUGUGUGUUUUUUUGGUUUGUUUGGCAGGGUAUCCGCUUUCGAGGUUUAUCUAUUCCUGAAUGUCAGAAAUUGUUACCAUCAGCAAAGCCUAGUGGAGAGCCAAUGCCUGAGGGUCUUCUCUGGCUUCUAUUGACAGGAAAAGUAAGUAGGCAGAUUGUAUCAUCAGUAUACUUGGGGGGGGGGGGGCGCGGGGGGGUAUAAAUGAUAUGUUGCUUCUGGUCCUCUUAUGCUAUGCCAUUUUUCUGAAACCCGUUCUUUUAUUGCUCUUUAAGUCACAAAACUUUUUUGUUGCAAAUGAACCAUUUGGUCCUGGUUCUGUUAGUGCUUGCAUGGUAAUUAGCCGUUCAACUCUUCUUGCAGGUUCCAACAAAAGAACAAGCUGAUUCAUUAACUCAGGAACUAAGAAGUCGUGCAACUAUUCCAGGUUAAGUACCUGUCAGGCUUGUAACAAACAGUUCAUAAUUUGAUCAUUAUACCCUACAUUAAUAUCUUUUGUGCUCAGAAGUUUAUCCACUCAACCAAGAUAUCUUAUAGUUAAUCCGUGUUAGGUUUGCAUGCAUCAGAUGUUAAGAUUAUGGUUACGUUGGCCAUGUCAAAUUUCCCUAUCAGCCUUAUGAACGUGAUUGUUAGCUAAUUUUCAUUACCGGUUGCAGAUCAUGUAUUUAAGACAAUUGAAGCCUUGCCCGUUGCUGCUCAUCCAAUGACUCAAUUUGCAACUGGGGUCAUGGCUCUUCAGGUGGGGUCCUAAACUGCAAUAUUCUCUUUUGGUUUGUCAGCACUCGCGAACAUGUUUUGCCAUUAUUUUUUGUUCAGUUCACUUGGGGGUGUUCAUUUGUUAGUUCAGGUGCUUGUGGAGGAUUCGAGGAUGUCCAUCUUUUUGCUUUCUGUGUCAAUUCAUUUGUGUAGCUUAGUUUUAAUGGUUGCUCCUGUCUAAAUACUUACCGAAAGCUGCAGGGAAAAGCCAAUGAUCUCAUUAGGGGUCAAUUUCUUUCCAGAAACUAUCCAUGUUGAUUUAUUGCUUUUGAACUUGUAUCUGUGUGUCAUCAUUUUAGAUAAUGUGGCAACUAAUACCUAUCGACUUUGUAUAAGGUGGACUUAUCAAUCAUGAAGAUGAAUAGUUUAAUUGAUAUGUUCUUAUAAGUUUGAGACAAGAAUUUUACUUAGAUCUUCUUCUAUAUUGUAAAUUUUAGUCGUGGGCUUUUUAUAGCAUCUGUCCUUUAAAGUGACAAAUAUGUUGGAGAAAUGGACUAGUCAAAUAUCUGCCUGAAGUAUUAUUGCAGAAAUUGCACACCUUUUAGGUUGUUUGGAAGGUCAUAUUUGGGUUUAUUAAGCUUUAUUUGUUUCACGAGUAACCUGCAAAAGUAAGGGGUAGUGCAGGUACUUUUAGCUGCUUUGUCGGACUGCUAUUUUUUUGGUUUAUGUUUGAAGUAAUUUUGAGAACACUUUUUUUCUUGUUUCAGGUACAAAGUGAAUUCCAGAAAGCAUAUGAAAAGGGAAUACACAAAUCAAAGUAAGAGUUUCUUAUGCUUUUACUGGACAGAAAACUGGGCUUCCAUCUUAAGCAAGCACUUAAUCUACUCUAUUUUCAGAUUCUGGGAGCCGACAUAUGAGGACUCUCUUAAUUUGAUUGCUCAGCUUCCAACUGUUGCUUCUUAUGUCUACCGCAGGUUUGUGAAGUCUAUGAUUUUUUUUUUUUUCAAUUCUUGAAUUGGUAUGGUGGUUUAUCAUUCAGAAUGUGACUGCUACUUCUACAAAUGGCAAUCAGCGCAUAGUAACCUUAUUUAUUUGCCAACCAGCCCCAGUUCUUCACUUUCAAAGCUGGGAUUUUACAACUUUGGGCUUCAUUAUGGAAAAUAAAUUGUCAGUACAUGGUUUAUAUGUCCUAACUCUAGCUAUUAAUUUGUGUAAUUUCAAUCCUCAUCCUUUGCCUCUAAUUGUAGGAGUUUCUGUCCUAAUUUUUCCUGCAUAAAAAAGGUGAUUUUUUCCAGGCUCUAUAACAUAUCCCUGUGAUCAAAGCACUUUGUAGGCAUUAGGUUUAAAACUUUUGAACCAGUAAGGUGAUUAUAGGAUGUCUGCACAGAAACAAGAAGUACUUAUGUAUGAUAUGUACCAUUUUAUAGCUAUCUGCUUGAUCAAAGAGGACAAUUACUAUGGAGUGGUGGGACUAAUAUAUCAGGGUUGUAGUGAUGCUUAGGAGACUAAAAGUAUGGACCGCAGGAGUGGAUUUUAAAAGGGAUCACAUAUUCAAGCACACACGCAUUUUUGGCAGAAUAUGUUAGGCAAAUAAUUAUGGGAUUUGCUUAAUUAAACUGAAAUAGUUUUUGUUAACCCUCUCACUUUCAUGUAGACUCACGUUUCUUGUUGCAGUUGGGAUCUCUCUGAUCUGCUUUUUCUUCCCACUGAUCCUUUUUCUUUGUGUUUGAUUUUAAUUUAAAUUUCUUCAAACUUAACGUGUUUGUGAUUUUACUUGUGAAGAAUAUACAAGAAUGGGCAAACUAUACCGACGGAUGACUCCCUAGAUUAUGGUGGGAAUUUUGCACACAUGCUUGGUUUUGAUAACCCUGAAAUGAAAGAGCUUAUGAGGCUUUAUGUCACCAUCCAUACGUAAGUCAUAAACAAUUGAUUCUUUGACAGUUUAGACCAAACAGUGAUCUGAAUGAGCCAGGUUAACUUCUCAACAUAAUACUUGAUACAUUUUCUUAUACCUCUCUUGCAGUGACCAUGAAGGUGGAAACGUUAGCGCUCACACUGGUCACCUGGUAAUGAAUUUCAUCCUCAAUUAAGCAUGCUAAAGUAUUGAACUUUUAAUUUAAUAAGGUUUCAGCACGUGCAUUGGGACUUUUGAUUGAAAUUUGAUUAAGUGCAUCUAAUAUAAAUAUAUAUAUGUGUGUGUGUGCGUAAAAUUAAAUCCCCUUGUCGUGUAAGCAUCAUACAUUUUUUCAUUUUCUCCUCUAACUAUAGCAUCUCUAUAAAUCAGGUUGCUAGUGCCCUUUCAGAUCCUUAUCUGUCAUUUGCUGCUGCAUUGAAUGGUUUAGCUGGACCACUCCAUGGGUUGGCGAAUCAGGUAUGCUGUCUUCUUCCUUUGUUGUUUUCUUUCUGUUUGAGAUAACUUUUGCACCUCUUUUUAGUGUUCCUUGCGUCUUGGAGAAGGAUUAUACAUGUGAUGAGGUUUAUGACCAGUAAUUCCCAUGGGCGCAAGUUUGCUACUCCAUUGUCCUUUAAUUAUACCCGAUAAAUUUUUGCCACUCUUUUUUCCUUGUGCAAAUCAGCUUAGAUAGGCAAAUCUUUGCAGUUUUCUUCUAUGCAUGCUUGGGAAAUUUGGUUUAUUAGCUACUAUGGCAUUCACGUAUAAUGAGAAAAUGUUUUAAGUAAGUUACCUUAGGUUACUCUGUUAUAAUUGGACAUUGGGCUUCAUGUUGCAUGAAUUCAUGCUCGUGUUUUGGUCCUGGAAUUAUAUCAUCAUGUCUUGCAUUUCAUACAACUUAUGGAAACUGUGAAAAGUCUUAAAAAUUUAUGGAGAGCAGCUAUUUGAUUCUUUGAAAGAACAGCCAAAUCCUUGCUGGGAGUUCUUGAUUGAUGUUGCUUCUCCCUGUGCUUUCUCUGACCUAGACUUAUCAGUUUGCGGAAAUAUAUUAUCUUGUAUUGAGUAGGAUCUGAAAUUAAUUCAAUCCCUAGGUCCGUCAUUUUGAUUGGCAAUCAGGUGAUAUUAAUCAAAUCUUAUUUUUGUAUUUCAUUACAUAACAAUAACUUAAUUACAGAAACUGGUAUUUGGCAAUAUUUUGCAUAGCAAGUUACAUGCAGAGAUUGCUCUGACUUUGUUCAUUAGUAAGAUAAACUAUUUGCGUUCUUUUGCAUCUAACUGAUGAAACAUGGGAAACAUGUUAUAACAGGUAUAUCUAAUCUGCCUUUGCUAUCUAUAGCGGUGUGCUGUUGUUGCGUAUCUGAUUUAAGGCUUACAUUUUCCUUGUUUGCUCACUAUCUGGAAUUAUUUCAGGAAGUUUUGCUGUGGAUUAAAUCUGUUGUUGAAGAAUGUGGGGAGAACAUCACCAAAGAACAUUUGAAAGACUAUGUUUGGAAGACACUGAACAGUGGCAAGGUAUUACUAUAUUGUCAUGAUAUUUGUGCAUUUUUGUUGGUUUACUUCAGUCCUCGUGUGUGUGUGUGCACAUGCAUAUUUCUGUGUGUAUGUGCAGAUGCAGAUACAGGCUCACAUAUAUGUGCAUAUUCAUGUGGGUGCAUCUCUCUGACCAGUUCCUUUAUGAAGUUUCCUUAUUUUGUCCCCAUGAAAUAGGUGCAAAGAACCAAAAUUGAAUUGUGGCACCCAGUGCAAAUUGAGCAUGGGGCAUCAAUUUAACACUGCAUUUAUGUUUAAAACAAAAUUUUCAAGCGUCUAUGAAGAGCCUUUUAAUUUUUCCAUGCCAGCCAUAUGAAAUCAAAGGCGUCUUUUUGAAUUGGACUUGUUUUGGUGCUCCAUGCAUGGUGCCUUAUCCUCUCAUGUUGAAAACCAUAGGUUGUUCCCGGAUUUGGACAUGGAGUUUUGCGCAAAACAGAUCCAAGAUACACAUGCCAGAGAGAGUUUGCAUUGAAGCACUUGCCUAAUGAUCCGCUAUUCCAAUUGGUGAUUAUCUAGGAUUGGUUUUCUAUUGCAAUGCAUAAUAUGAUAUUUAGUGCCUAAACUUACGUUUUCUUCAUUCCUUGUACAGGUGUCGAAGCUUUAUGAAGUUGUACCUCCAAUUCUGUUAGAACUUGGCAAGGUAAAAUGAUAACUUACUAAUCAGUAGAUUGCUUAAAAGCGCUUAAUCCUUAAAUGCACAUAAUCACGAAAGAAUUUGUCCAGAGCCAUUAGUACCUGGGGGCUCAUUUUGGUUGAGAUUCGUAUGGUAAUCCAUUUUAUCUGUAAUAUUUUGUUGGACAACCAAAUUGGGUUGCAUGCCAUUGUUUCUAUUUUUAUUUGAUGAAGCUUUGGCAGAAAAUUAGCAUUUGUCUUGCUUCCAAGACCCCAUAUUUCAGCUUAAAUAGUCCCUAAACACUUAAUAUAAUUCAAUCUGAAUUUGGGCCUCUCAGGUCAAAAAUCCUUGGCCUAAUGUUGAUGCCCACAGUGGUGUGUUGCUGAACCAUUACGGUUUAACUGAAGCAAGGUAUUAGUUUUCUUUCCACUGAUCUUGGCUUGUUCUGUGGUAUAUAGUCCCAAUUAUAUGUGGAUCUAUAAUUUUCUGAUAUAUAUUUGUUUGCAAAUAAAUUCUGAGCAGGUAUUAUACGGUUCUCUUUGGUGUGUCAAGGGCUAUUGGCAUUUGCUCUCAGGUACUUUUCAUUACGUCUUACGUUUCUUCGGUAUCCCAUUUCACUAAAACCUUUUUUAACGCAUUAACAUCUGGUUUACUGUUGAUUUAGCUAAUAUGGGACCGAGCCCUUGGAUUGCCACUUGAGAGGCCGAAAAGUGUUACAAUGGAGUGGCUUGAGAAUUACUGCAAGAAAGCUGCGGCUUAAUUUAGAAAAUUACCAUUUGCUCGAGAAAGGCCGAGUCUCCGUGGUUGUGGUUCCUGCCAGAUUGUUAAUUCGAUUGGGAACAUUUGUAACAAAUUUUGCAUUGUCGAUAUAAUUCCUUUGCUUUAGUAGAGACCAGAUAGCCAUUAGGUGUCUGUUUCCCUUCCCAGUUUCAUGUUCACGCCAUCGAUUAUUCAUGUGAAAGGAUUGCUACAUCGUUCAAUAAAUAUAUCUGUUAAAAGAGUUUUUGCAUCGUGAAUGCUGGUAAUUGUUUGCUUCUACCUCCAUCCUUGGAUCUGUAAAGUCAUAUUUGAAGAGGGCAUGAACAGUAUACUGAGGAAGGGUUGGCAAUUAUCUGUUUCUCGCGUAAAAGUGCUUCUGUUGGCAAGGCGCUGGACGACUGAAAACCAUCCUGUCGUCUCAAUGAUUUUUUUUUUUUUUUUCUAUAACGAUAAUAUUUGUAUAACCUAAUAUAUUCAAUUCUAUAGUAAGGAAAGUCUAAGGGGCUAGUAGAUAUACAGAUUUGACUAAAUUAAAGAGGUGUUAUGGUAUUUUUUUUUUAUUUUUUUCAUUGUAUGUGAGAUUCGAAUCUCCGAUCUACAACUCAGAGAGUGGCUGUUGAGGCAUGGUUCAGUUGGUUAUACUUUCUUCGAAAUUUUAUGUAGUUCAACCAAGUGUUAGUGGUCUAGAUCAAUUAAAAACGCAAGUUUCUACUCCAAGUUGUGUAAUUUGCUAGCGUGUUGAAGAUAGCAGCUCCAUGGUGCGCUGUAUAACAUUUCAAGGACAAUUAGAAUAGAAAUGUGGCUUUUAUGCAUAAAGGUUAAAGGCGCCGGUUUACUGUUUUUCACAGCUCAGCUUGCCUGUUAGGACUAGUGGGCAAUGAUUCUGUCUCUGACACAAACCUAGACUGUGAAGACUAGAUAUGUUUUCAAACUUGGAUCGGGAAUCGACUCGAUCGAACUCAAGGAUCAAGGAUCAAUGAAUUCGACAAAGUUCAAUUGGAGUUGAAUCGGAUGACAUCAUAAAUAAAAAGUAUUUAAAAAUUAAAAUAUUAUAUGUAAAAUAUCUAAGAGUUUAUUAAUAUUAAUAAAGGUAUAUUCAUAUAUAUUUGAAACAUAUUUGAUGUUUCAAAUAUAUUUAAUAAGAAAAUACAAAGAAAUUAGAACAAUCGAGUAGCAAUUUAUAUUAUUUAAUGAACAUUAACAAGUUUAGAAUUAAAAUUAUGGACUUAAUUGAAAAAUAACACCAAACUUUAAGACAACAUUUAUAAAGUAUGAAAUAUUUGAGAUAUAUUAAUAAUUUUUAACAAUUUAGGGGUCAAAAUAUAAUAUUAAAAAUGCUUUGGCCUUUCAAAAAAAAGAACUUUGACCCGGAUUCUUCAAUUUUUUCCGAUCAAACCUGGUUUUUGACCUGGUUUGAUCGAUUUUUUAUUUUUCAGGUUUUAGGGAUAACUUGGACCGGACAGUUGGCCGGUUCUCGGUUCGACCAAUCAGACCGCCAUGUCAGGUCCAAGUUUAAAAACAAUGUGAAGACCAUUACAAUAAUUCCGCACAAAAAAUCACUAAAACAUCAGUUUUUCCCUUCUGACCUCGUCCUAUUUGAUUCUCAUUUAAUGUGGAUAUUGUAUUGUCAGUUAAAUAUUUUAUACAUUUCUUUCUUGCAAAAUAAUUUUCCUACUUCAUGAGUAUUGUCUUUCGUUAUAAAUUAGUUGUAAACUUUUAGUUGAAUUAGUAAGGAUGAAUCAGAUUACUUUCUUACAAAGAAUGGUAUGGCACGUCGUGACUUGUUGAAAUGAUUAAAUCCAAAUUCACUAAACUUCUUCUCUAGAAAAAAAAACACACACGUGCACAAAAUCAUAAAAAAUUGCAAAUUUAACUCAUCCAAAUAUAAGGUUGCAAACAAAUCAAAUCACUCAUGAGUCGAUCACGAGCAGCUCGAAUCCGAGUUUGACUCGAGUUCGGUCAACAUUGAACUCAAGUCGAGAUCAAGUUGAUCAAAUCGAAAUCAAACUAAAAAAUAUUAAAUUCGUUAGUUAGCGAGCCGAUUUGAGUUCAAUUUUAUAUAAAUAUAUAUUAAUAGUAAAAUUACAUAUAUAUUUUUAAUAUUUUAUUAUUUGUUAAAAAAUUUAUUAUUUUAUUCAUUAUUUAAAAAUAAAAUUAUCAUUAUUAUUUAUCUCAUCACCGAUUUUUCAAGCUCAAAAUUUUUCCAUAUCUAUUUUGCUAAAAUGAAUUGCUCUGCCCGACUAUCUAAAUCUAUUCCAGGUUUCUACUGCUCCAGUGUUAGAUUCGAUACCGCUCCCUGCAUCCAUUUCCUCCAUUUUUGUCAAAAUGCCCCACCUACCUAUGUCAACUUCAGGUGCACUUCUUUCACUCUAAUACUCUAAAAUAUAUUUACUUGGGAAGAUUUGAUGCCAUUUGGGUAGUUUUUAUUUUAGUUAUUUUAUUGUGUUUCAAGAAAUAGAUGCAUGUAUAUCUUGUGAAAGUUUUAGGCUUUUUUUAGUAUACUACAAAUUUUUUUGGAAAAAAAUAAAUAGAAUAAAAAUUUGUUUGUAGGAUAUAAUAUGAGGAUACUAGUUAAAAUCAUGUUGAAAAUGGGCAGAAAAUUUGACGUGCAAUAUGAGAAUGUAGUGGAAAGGCGUAAUCUUUGACAGAAAAACUGUGAUUAGACGAAAUCAACCAGUUGGUGGGCCUGUGCUUUGUGUAUGCGUUGCUGCUGUGUUUUCAGAGCUGAGAUUUAGUGUGAAAAGAUGCAUUUGUUAACCCUAAAGUUACCAUAUAAAUUCGCUAGAUUAUAUGGUGGGAAAUGUGGUUUUAAGGAUGAGGGGUUAAGCUGGUUGGGCACUUGGGCUUGAGUUUUUGGAAAAAUGAAAGCAGAGGCUCCAGGGAAAUUGUCUCUCCUCUACCUCCUAAUUGGUCCAUCUGUCUUUCUUUAAGAGGAAAGAAACCGAAAAAUGCCAACUGAUUUAGAUUUAUUCAAGAAUCUGGCACUUCAAUUUUUCUCCUGCCAUCUUGUUGGAGAAGAGAUAGAUUAGGUCACGUUCUUAUAGCAAAGGACGGACUGGAAUGCAUGAAUUUCUGGGAAGCACUGCUAUUGUUGAGAACCUGGAGUAGGAAGGAUUUCUGGGAAGUCCACUUAAAGUCGAUUCUCAUAAGUCAGACUUUAAAAUCAACUUUCAAGACAUCAACUUCCAUUUUUUUUGGAAGGCUUGUAUUAUUUUUCUCUUAUUUUGAAUGAAACAAGUGAUAUUUCAGUAAAUAGCCCUUAAGCUCAGUUUUGAUAUGUAUGAGGUGAUACAUUCGACCUCAUAUCUGAUUGCAGAUAUGUGUCAAUUAUCUUUCUACUUCGCCUAGCUGUUAAGUUAUAGAAUCAAGUAAUUACCUCAAGAAACAUUGUGUAGAGGUACAAUGAAACAGAGGAUUACCUUAUGCAGUAGCUGCAGACAACUAAUGAGAGCCAAAUUUUGAUGCAAUGUAUACCAAAUAUUGCUUCUCUCAUGCUGAGUAUAUUAUUCUGAAACAAAAAUAUUGGUUAUACUUUGGGAUUAAAUACCAUGGAGAAGGUUAUUAAUAGCUUGGGUUAUUUUAGAUAAUUGAUUAGUCUGUUUCAUGCACUCCCAAUCUAUAAUUGACAGGCUGUGUUCUGAGGUUUUGAAAUGAUCAAGCAUGCUAGUGUAUACAAAAUUAAGAUGGAAAGUGUUGUGGGAUGCUGUCGAAAUUUUGAGUGUCUCGAACAAUCCUUUUAAACGCUAUGAUUUUUGAAUAAAUUGUGGCCGCAUUGUGCCUGUGGCCGACUCAAGAGUUUGUAUUGCGUGUUCUUGAGUUAUUCAAGGAGUUGGAUUUAUGUAACACUAUCUCAUAGUUAUUAUGUAUCAAGGGUUCAUAGUAGAUUUACAGCAGUUCUAUUUAGCAGCUUCCACACUUCUUUUCGGUUUCUUCAGGUCCAUUUCUCGGGCAAAGUUGGAAUAUUUCAAUUUAAACAUAUAAUGUUAAUUGAUAGCCAAUAAGUAUAUAGUUAAGUAUUUUUUUUGUAUGAAAGAGGUGGAGGACUUGAAAAAACUGUUUCUAAGGCGCACAAGUGUUUUUCAAUUCGCUUUCUGUAGAAGUGUCCUGCUAUGCUUUUAGUCUACUUGAUAUUCUCCGAAAUGUGAUCAUAUUGCAGAAGCAGUAACUAGCUACAUUGUAACUGUAUUCAGGUUGAAGAAUUCUGUAACACUGAAACUGGGGCAGAAGUUACUUCCUACGUGUGCAUCAAAGACAAAUCCCUCAGAAGGAUCUGAUAGGAAGAAUGGCGAAACUGCCCGAGGCCCUCCAUUCCUGACCAUUUUGGCUGGUUUUCUUGUAUUUUUCGUUCUAUGUUGGAUCAUUGGAUCUAUUGUACUGUGGCUCAUUGGUCUAUUUGUCCGCGCACCUCCAUCCAAAUGACAUCAAAUUUGUACUUUAUGUAGGCAACUUUGUUCAAUAGCUAGGUUCACUUUUCUUGACCAUCGCUUUGGAAUCCAAUAUUUUCUAUUUCCAAGCAUGAAAUCACAGAAUCCCUUUAAUAAACUGUUCAUAUUCGCAAAGUGUAAUGCAAUUCACUCUGGAGACUUUGGCUGGCAUUGAAACAUCAAAAGCUUCCUUCUUCAACCAGACCACUGAUGAAAGCCCCCUUUUACUCUACCUUCUCAGCAUGUUCUGAUAAUUUUUUUUUCUUCAGCAGUGCUCAUUUGAUGCCACCAUUUUUUCUGGUCAAAAACAUCAGGGAUCUAGAUCAGAUUGAAUAUGAGCUACCAUUAUCACACAGAGAACUCUACCACUGCCACUUCAAUCCCUCUUUAACAAUCACCCUUUACUAUUCCUCAUCUGUUUUUGUGAAAUUGGAAAACAUUCCCUACCCAGCUUACCCAUCGCUCUUGUCAUUUUGCUUAUUCAUCAUGAUUUAAGUUGCCGAAAAGCAUGAUUAAGUGAACCGAGUGUGGAAAGGGGGCUUCUCUCUGAAGGAUGGAAAUGCCCAAGCAACAAGAAUAAGAACCAUGUAAUACCCGUUGCUGAAAAUUGAAAUGCACCAUGUCACAACCCUUCGUGGGAUGGGGGAUGUUUACUAUCUAUUCUUAUUAACAAGGUAAUUAAUAAAAUUAAAAUUUCUCAAAGAGUUGUACAAUUUUCUACCAAAAUAUUAAAACAACAAUCUAAAUUACAAAUCUAUUUGGAAUCUUUUCCUUGCACUUCAUGAUUAUCAUCUGCAAAAGUAGCUGUAAAAUUACGUCUUUCAUUGGAAUUUGCUGUGAUGACUGGCAUCCACACAUCAGCUGUACUACUCAGGAGAGAUCGCACCUCUGGAUCUGAGGAUAUCAUUUUGUCAACAUCAUCCAGUUUUGAGGACAGUUUAUCCAGCUCCUUUGCUAUUUCAAUCUAAAUAAAAACACAAUAAACCAACAGAGGUGAAUAAAACAGUAAAAGCAUUAUGCCGGCAAAUUAUACUGCUGAGAGCUGUGAAACAAUCAAUCUUGUCUUCAAAGCAUUUAGUUGGCUGGCAAACGGCCUUAAAGACUACCUCAUCAAGAUCUUGCGCAGAUUUUGAAGGGACUUUAGUAACCUCCGAUCCCAAGGCUUCAAUCUUGGCACGUAAUUCUACUUCCUCUUGAUUGGUUAAUGAUUCAACCUGUAAAAGUUUGUCAUUAAUGGUCUUAGACAGAACAGAAUACAUCUCAGCUGAAUCCCCAAUACCAAAAGAGAAGUGCCCAACUCACAAAUAAACUGUGCUAACACAGUUUACCAACCGAAAUGUCAAGAAACAAAUUAGGCAGGAAGAGAUUAUGACCCAAUAACAGUCAAAGGCAUCUUAGUAUGCUGCAUCUGAAUUUGAGUCAUGAGUUAGUAAAAUUUGUUGAAGCAAUUUUUACUUAUGUAUGGUUUUAUCCUUCCUAAAAAGUUGUUCUCAAACACAUCCUACACAGAAGAAAAGGUUUAUUAUGGUAUACACCCUUGGUUAAGAACUUCUCAAAGAGCUGGGAAGCUAAUCAUGAGCUACAAGAGGAGAAAAAAAAAUGGUGGCAAUCCAUAGCAGGACUCUUAAUCAGAUAUUUUAGCCAGCAAUAAUGGGUUGCACCUCACUUCCCUCCCAAUCUCUCUCUUCUUCUUGUCAAGAUGAAGCAAUAGACCAGCUUCUUUUCAUAUUUAUAACCUUCCCUCAGAUGGGGAUGGGGUUGUUGGAUGGUCAUUAAAUCACUUUAGUAACCCAAAGGAACCAUUUCUAAGAUGCAAAAUGGCUUUAAAGGUAAGAAUUUUGGGCUCAUACUUUCAUUCAAACCAAUUUAAUAAUAAAAUAAUUCCUACCUUACUCCAAUAAAGAAGUGAAUUUUGGUUAAGGUAUCAAAGCUAUGCAGGUCAUGGAUGGACAGUAAAACAAUCGAUAACAUUUUAAAUUUCUAUAUACUUGUGACUGAAAACCUAUGUAUACCCCACAAAAAAGAAGUUCUUGGUUUAAACUUUUGCACAUAAAACCCUGAACCUGCAGAUAGGAACAUAAUGCCUCUUCAAUCUUCACUACAACAUAUACCUUUGAAUCCGUUAAUAAUUACAGCAAUGGCAAUUACAAAUAUUUAUAUCUCAGUACCCUCCUUCACCAAAUUGGAGAUUUUAGACCUUAAAGUCCAAAGUGCUACUCAAACCUGGUAGCACCCAAUAACCAAUCUGAAAAUAAGUACUAUUAAGCAUAUUCAUAUUUGGAAAUGUCAAGUGUUUACCCGAAUUGCCAAGCAGCAGAAGAAGUGCUAAAGUAAAAAAUGUUGAAGGCUAAGCUGGAUGCAGUAUGUGCAGAAAAAGACAACGUAUAGUAUGAAAGGGCAGAAAUAGCUAAGUGCUUUGCAGGAUAUCGCUUCUUUCUCUAUCAGUCCCAAUAAUUCAACAAGAGCACAAUCUGAACCAAGCUAUUACCUCCCAGUCCUUUGUGAAGUAUAGCUCCCUAAGUUAAAUAGAAAAGUGCAGCUGCUGUCAAGCUUUGCUUCUUUUCCUUUCACUUAAAAGACCAUCUCAACAAUGUAUACGUUCCCCAAAAUGUGUCCCCAUUAAGCUUACUACAACAAUAAAACAGACUCUGCAAACUCCAGUAAUGGGAGAGUCAAGUAAUACGUGAAUUGCAAAAAUUGCUCCUUAAGCUCGAGAGAAAUCUAGCCACCAAAACAGCAUUUCUCAACGUGAGGCACACUACAGAUAUCCAUCCAGCAAUGCAACAAAUCAACACAUGUUCUUUCGUUUACCAUUUUACAUGUAGAUUACCAACGAAAGGGCUGCUAAUACCUUCCCAUCAAAUAGAAUAUGCAAACAAACUCACUGUUACCUUGCUGGCCUACAGGAUUCCUAAACUGUUCUACUCGAUCAGAAAGACACCCAUAAAAGAUGACAUUUGUAAGAAAGGUGAACCCCUUCAACAUCACUUGACAAAAUAAGUACUUAGAGAUCUAACCUCCCUAGGUGCACCUACUUUGGUUGAUUGCUCAAUAUCAUUUUCAAUCUUGGUCUUGUCUGUAUCAGAAAAUUGAGUGCUGAGGAAGCAAAAAUAGAAUGAAGAAACCAGUGCUAGUUCCCACUUCUAAUUUGUGUGCCUUGUUAAAAUGUAGAGACUAGAGAACAUAGUAACUCGUUCUUCAAAUAUUCUUUCUAUACAGUAGUUUUAUACAAGUUACAUAUCUAACCAGAAACUUACUGAUAGACUUUGGAUCAAUGGCAGUGUUGGAGAUGUAAAAAGAAACACUUGUGUGGGUAUACAACAUAUGGCUAGAGAGGCAUCAAACACACUUUCCUCCAUAGUGAAAAACUACAGACGUGAUAAUUUCAAAAAUCAUGCCCAUAAAUCCAUUCCUAACUGAGUCUUUGGACAGCACUCCAAAUUCAAAGCAUGAAUGGGAGCAUAAGGUGACACGGGGAAUUUAUUCAGAAAAUUUCUUCUGUUUUGGAUGAGCUGUGUUUAAAAGACUAAUAGUCAUCUUAAAUGAAUCAAGAACUUAUUUUUAUCCCUUUUCUCAAGGAAGAACUUAAUAAAGCACUAUACUAACUAUCUACAUCACCAGUUGAAGGGAUUUCAACCAACAAGGGCAGCUAAGAAUCAAAUUAGAAUUGGAGCUGGAAUUGGAUUCACAUUCUACUAAAAUUGAGCUAAAAUUUUGUAGUAUACAAUUCAAAUUCCAGUUCCAAGUAUGAUAGGCCCUAUUUUCCUACAAAAUACUUUUCCAUUUUCACAUCAACUGAAAUUCUCUCAAGGAACCAAACACAUCAUCUCCUUCUUUUAAGUUAUUCGACUUACAUGCAGGAUUCAAUCCUCAAUGUCUCAUUUCCUCCCUUCUCCUCCCCUCCUAAAAGCUCGGAAAAAGAAUAUACAUCCAAGACGUACAAAAACGAAAAAAUCUUGAUUACACAAACAGAAAAGGAAAAAGGAAAAAUGAUAACAGAGCCUAUUCAGAAAAAUCCAGAAUCAAGCAAUCAAGAAAAACCAAUAAAAGAACUUAAAAUUGACGUUGACCAAAAAAAUCCCAUAAAGAAAUCUAUCUACCUGAACUCAGAUAAGGAAUCUUUAAAUCCCAAGAAAAUAUUAAUUCCAAGUUCCGUGUAGAAUGCAGAUACCUGUUGGAGGAGACUGGACAGGAGACCAAAGAGCUGAGCAUCAGCAGGAGGAGAAGGUGCUUCUUGUGAUGAUUUACCUUCUGCCAUUUUCGCGAUUGCAGAAGAUUUCUUGGCAGAAUACCCAAGUUUCCUUUUGAGAAAAGCCAAACACGGGCUUAUUCAGUUAAUGGACAGUUGGAGACCAGAGGGCGUGCCCCGGUUAGCUGAAUACUCAAGUCUCUUGUCUUCAUUUUUUUUUAAUUUCUUUUUCCUUGUGGGAGAUUUUUAUUCUUUUUUUCUUUUUUUUUUUGGCCUUUUUGAAAGUUAUACCCCCUCUUUCUUUUUUUUUUCUUUUAGCAUAAGUAGGAAGACUCGAACCCGAGACCUCUCACUUACACUCCCUCCUCCCGUAUCACCCAAUCGAACCCUCCCCCUAAAGUUAUACCCUCUCUUAAUCCAUUUUUUUUUUUUCAUCCAAUGCUUUUUUUUUUUCAUAGAAAUUGAUUAUCCACCAUCUCGAUAGCAUAGCAAAAUAAGAGAGUAAAAAUAUACAUGUUAUAAUGAGAUUACCUACCUAUUUAGUUGUCUACCUUUAAUAGAUAAACGACAUUUGAUUCUUAUUAUUUUAGCAAAUUUGUUAAGCAUCAUAUUUUCAAUUGUUUACCUAAAUUCUUCUUAGUAUUUAUGUUUGUGUUUUUAUAUAUUGGAAACAAAACAGAAGGAAGCACAUUUAAUUAUGACCAAUAGGAAUAAUUACAAUUAUAUGGUCAUUUGAUGAAGAUUUUGAUGUUUUCCUCAUAAAAAACUAUGCUAUAGGAACGAACAAAAUUUUGAGUAUUUUAGCACUAGCAAAACCAAUUGCGUUCUCCAAUAUGAAACUAAGGUGAAAAUGGUCUUUUUAGAAUAUAAGAAAAAAUUAAAAAAAAAAAUCUAACACUUUCAUUUACUUUUAAGCAUAAGAUAUAAGAUAAGAAUGGGAUAUUUCUUGGUGGUUGGGCCUUAUCUUUCCUAUCAGAGUUUUGCUAUCAAGUGCAAUAUGAUUGAGCAGGGACGGGUGGCACAAUCCCAUUAAAUUCUUUGGGUAGAAGUAAUUCAUUGCUGAAGAAAGUAGAAUGAGAUCAUUGACAGUAAUUGGCCCUGUUUGCCACUUUGGUGGUCCAGUCCAGGUAUUGCCAAUUGUUUGCUAACUUGGUAGUUUCCUAUCCCAAUAUACAAUUUGUUCCAAAAAAAUAAAGGAAAAUAGAUAACAUAAGAAGGUUUUUUAAAAAAAUUUUUUUUUUUUUCUAGUAGAGAAGUGGGAUAUAAGAAGUGAGAGAGGGAGGAAGGCGAAUUAGAAUUCAGGAUCUCUAAUUCUGGGACUUCUACCUAAUAAAAUGAGAAGUAGAGUAAAAGCAUAUAAUUUUAUUAUUAUCAAAAAGUGAAACACCUUGGUCUGAAAAGGAAAAAAAGAAAAAAAAAAAAGCCAUCAUCUUCUUUUAUGGCAACCUAAAGCUCAACCUUUUUUUUUUUUUUUUGUCUUCAUAUUUUAUUCUAUUGGUGAGGUGUUGUUCGAGUGGUAUAUGAAAUUAACUAGGUGUUUGAGCAAUGUGGACAAAAUUGAUUUAUUUCUUUAGUUCAUAGAAUCCAAAAGUCCCAAUUUAGUUGGUUGAACUUGAAUAUUAACUAAAUGAUUAUAAAAUCCUUGGCUCCACUCUCAAGCUAUCUUUUUUUUCUUUUUCCCCCUACAUUCUUGUGAGAGUAGGAGUUUCCCAUAAUAAGAUAUACAGUUGGUGAAAUUAAAAUUUUGUUUAGCAAACCUUUUGUUGCACAAAUAAAUUUAUCAAUGUAGUACUAAAAAAUGUGAAGUUCCAUGAAGAGAGUUUUGCAUUCACAAUGCUCACAAGACAUUUAUAUAUACCCCUAAAAUAAUACUCCCUCCGUCCCACUUUGAUAGUCCUGUUUUCCUUUUUCGUCUGUCUCAAAUUGUAGUUGUAUUUUAAUUUUUCUAAAAUGCCCUUAUUCAAUGUAAGUUGUUGUUACUAUAAACCUACCCCAUUUAAUGAGAGUUGAUUCAGUUUUUACCAUCAAUUCAAAUUCCCAUAAAGCUGUACUCUAUUUAAUGUGAGGGUAUUUUAGGAAAAUAACAAUCUAAAUUUAUUUUUCCAACAAAGUUAACUACUUUUUCUUAAACUGUGUGAAAAAAGAAAUAGAACUAUCAAAGUGGGACGGAGAGAGUACUUGUUGCUGUCUAUUGGAUACACAAGAUUUUAAGAAUUGCUGUGCAGCCUAAAAGUUUGUACUCCUUUAUCAAAUGGAAAAUACAAGUGAAAUGAAUCCUUUUUAUCUUGAGCUGCUUUAUAAGAUGACCUCUAAGGCCCUACCAGAUUUUAUAAAAAUAAAUGAAGAAUGAUACAUGAUAAUGACCCGCAAUAUAAUCUCUUUAAUAAAGAAAAAGAACACAUGAAAUAUUGACAAUGACAUGGUAACGUGCAUCUUAGAGCCCCAAAAAGAUGUCAUUUCACCAACACUCAAGUCUUCCAGAUCAGUCUCAAUUCCCAGAACUACAGGAAAAUGUUUGAAAAUUUAGAUUACUUCAUGAAAUGUAUAUAUUAUCAGCCAACACAAGUUGAUCAGUCCGCAACAACGAAUUAAUUUUUUCUCAUAAAAAAAGUCAAAUUCUGCCACUGCUGAUGUAAAGAUUGUACCCUGCACACGAUCUAUGGUUACAGAGACAUACUUUAAUCUAGAGUAAUGACUGAAGUGUACACAUCUAAAUUUUUUUUUUUUAAAAAAAUUAGAAUAUACUCCCUCCGUCCCACUUUGAUAGUCUUGUUUUCCUUUUUCGUCUGUCCUAAAUUGUAGCCCACUUUCUAAUUGAAGAAUGUAGUUGUAUUUUAAUUUUCCUAAAAUACCCUUAUUCAAUGUAAGUUAUUGUUACUAUAAACCUACCCCAUUUAAUGAGAGUUGAUUCUUUUUUUACCAUCAAUUCAAGUUCCCAUAAAGUUGUACUCUAAUUAAUGUGAGGGCAUUUUAGAAAAAUAGCUACCUAAAUUAAUUGUUCCAACAAAGUUAACUACUUUUUCUUAAACUGUGUGAAAAAAGAAUUAGGACUAUCAAAAUGGGACGGAGGGAGUAUAUAUUAUCAAAUAUCUUACACUAGAAAAUGUGAUCAUGAGAAUCUGCCUGCCGACUGCCUUACUCACUUGGUCAUAUGCAGUGGUUGGCGCUGAGGAUUUUCUAGCCAUGGUAAUCUGGCCAUAUUCCCGAUUUUAGAGUCAUAUUUACUCUGGAUAACUAAGAUGAGACAAAAUGGGUUUUUGAUGUGAGAGAGGUUUGACUCUCACUCGUCUCUUUCGCCCAGUGAGAGUCAAACCUCUCUCACAUCAAAAACCCAUUUUGUCUCAUCUUAGUUAUCCAGAGUAAAUAUGACUCUAAAAUCGGGAAUAUGGCCAGAUUACUGGCUAGAAAAUCCUCAGCGCGUGUCGAAGUCAAAUUUGUACAAAAACUAAUGGACCCAAUUUGGGACACCUAUGAAAGCAGGGAUAAGUAACUCUGUAGGGUACAUUUCACACACCGUGAAUUUUUUCAUAUUCCAUCCACGCAUUGAAUUUUUGGCCCAAUCCUUGAUCAAUUCGGUCAAAACAUGUCAUAUGAUCACAAAGCCAAAAAUACUACCAAGAGUUUCUCAUUUCGUCGGUCAAGCUUUUAUUUUUCUUUGAUGUUAUUUCUACUGCUGUCAUCUUAGCAUUGGUUGCACAUUCUAGUGCAUGGUGAUGUCAUUUGACUCAUUUUUGCCCUAUGUAUGUGCACAAACUAUGGGACUCGGGUCAUGGACAGUUGUUGACAAUCAUUCGAUCGAAAUGUUGUAAUAUUUUCUCGAUGUUUCGUAAUUUCACAUGGACCACCCGUAAAAUUUCAUAACAGACACAAUUAUUAUUAUGCAUGAGACGCGCAUGAACAAUAACAAAAUAUUGCACACAAACUAUGUUUCGUAAUUUCACAUGAACCACUUGUAAAAUUUCAUAACAGACACAAUUAUUAUUAUGCAUGAAACGCGCAUGAACAAUAACAAAAUGUUACACACAAACUAUAUAUGUUUCGUAAUUUCACAUGAACCACUUGUAAAUUUUCAUAACAGACACAAUUAUUAUUAUGCAUGAAACUCGCAUGAACAAUAACAAAAUAUUACACUUCUAUUGUAAGUAUGUACAGGUAAUUAAAAAAUAAUUACAACUUGUUGAAAAAGUGGUACGCUAUUCUGAUCCGUGCUCCGAGUCCCAAAGAAUGUGGGUCCCAAAAUCCCAAUCAAGAAGGAAGUUUAAUAAGACUGCCUGCUUGGCCAUUUGGAUUAGCUUUUGGACAUAUCGUAUACUUUUGCUAUAUUAUGUUGUGCAUGGUUUUUAGCACUAAUCCCUUUAUCUAAGAGUGCAAUUCUUGAAGCUUUCUUGUCCUUGUCCGUGGAAAAGGCAGUUGAUGACUGUGUGAUGCUUUUUUAAACAAAAACACAAUAAUGCACAAGAUAGGAAGUCGCCUUUUAAUGAGAUAAGAUAUGCCAUUUAGUGUGGAAUAAUCGUUUAUGGCAAAGGGCUAGUGCGGCCCGGAAGGAGAAUAGGUUCUUUUUGCAUAAAGGACCACAAGAAUACGCAACAAAUCAACAUUCUUUUUUGCUUUUAAACCCCCAAGCAACGUAUACUUUUUCACAAAAAAUGUUACUAUGUUUUACCAUAAUAAUCCACUUUAUGCAGUGAAAUUUUGUAACGGUAAGGUUUUGAACAUAUGAAAUCACCUAAUUUUACUCCUGUUGUUAAUCUUAAAACAUAUGAACUAUUACACAUUAAUGGUUUAUUCAAAUUUGUGACGAUGGCAAGUCAAACUUAGUAUAGGAGCUCACGUAAAUCAAGAGCUUAAAAUAAUAUGCAUUUUUUGAUUUUGUUUUUGAUUUUAGAUUUUUUUAACGGGUAUUCAAUGAGCCAUCGUUAGUACAUUGAGAUCACAUCUAUCCUAUAACACCUAUUACAUGAAUUUACAUAUUAACAAUUAUUACUUUAUCUUGUAUUUAUAUAUAUUUUUAAAUUAAUUUUACUUUUUUAAAAUAUGAACACAUGAACUCUAUCAUAACGUGCCGAUUACAGAUUGUUUUUUUUUUUUAAAACGUUGUGUGAAUAAAUGAGUUACACUCACUAUAUCGUUGUAUAAAUUUAAAAAUAUGGUUGUUAUCCACGAAUUGGCAUUCUUAUUCCUUGGAAGCUGCAAUCCCAUUUAAAACUCAUGAAAUUCCUAAACCUCAAACAAAUAGAAACCGACCAAAACUGUGUGAAUUUGCUACCCAAUUUCAUGGAAGUUAAAAAAAAAACCUUAAUCCCCACAAAAUAUUCCUCCUCAAGAGUGAAAACCUUAAAAGCGCCAAAAUAAAUAGGGGAUAAUAUUGGGAACCUUCGCUGAGGUUUCUCUCAAUAUCACUUAGUAUCCCUAAAGUUUUAAAAAUUUUAUUUAUUUCCUUUAUUUUUAUUAUUUGCAUAGCAAAAUAUUUUAAAACCCUAAAUUAUUCUUUUGCUUAUUUUACUAAAUGAAAUGCUCUUAAACCACUUUGUUUACUCAAAAAAAAAAAAAUCACAACCUAAAAAAAAUCUCUAAUAGUACCAUCACAUCACAAAACUAUAGUCUAUAAAAAUAUAAAUUUGGAAAAUAAAAAAAACAUUUGUAAAUAAAUACACUAGCACUAAUUCAACUCUAUUUUCUCAAAAUCGAUUUCUUAUGAACAUUUUUUUCCCCAACCUCUUUUCAACCCAUUCUAUAAACCUUUAAGUUGUACUAAAUUACUAUAAAAAUUAUGCAAAAUACACAAAAAAAUCAUACCCUACUCUAUCAUAAUCAUAAAAAGAAAAAGAUAAACAAAAUUAAUUUACUAUGUUUCCAAAUAAAAAAUUGCAUAGUCAUCAAAAUAAAAAAAAGAGUAAGAGAAAAUAUUGGAGAAAGGGCAAAGGGAAGAAAGUGAAUUUUGUUUCUUUUUUCUUUAAUUUUUUUGAGUUUCAUUUAUUAGAUAUGUCAAUUAUAUAUUCAGUGAGGGAUAAUAUAGUCAUUUUGCAAUUAUAAGGGGAAGACAAGUGAUUAUUUUUAAAACCUAACGAGGAGGUUUGUGAUAUUAUCCCAAUAAUUAGCCACUCUUUCUCCUUUGAUCACUAUUGCUACAAGCAAGUACUAGCAAACUCUAGACUCUAGUUCGUUCGGUUGCCCGCCUUAGCUUCUUUCCUUGCCCGUAAUGUUUCUGCUUACCUUCAUGUCAGUUAGGUGCCGCCUUGUCUUCGCUCGCUCACUCGCUCUCCAUUUAUUCUCUCUUUCCACGUAACUCUCUCUACAGUCGUUUCUUAGUCUUCUCACACCCUUACACCUGGACUUCAAUUGUUUUGUUCCAUUAAAACCAUGGUGUGACACUAUUUACUGCAGCUCCACUGUCCCAUUCCUCUGCUCUGGAAGCAGCAGAGUUUCAAGAAUUUCCGAAAUAAAAUCUUUCAUGGUAAAUUUCUAGUUGUUUUUGCUGUUCUCAAGUCAUCUGUGAGUCCCUUUACCUGUACUGUUCUUUUGGUAAGCUUUGAUCACCAAACAGAGAAGAAAAGCAUGCUGAAUUCUGUUUCUUGAUUAAAAGUAGGAUUUUCUCUGUUUUUUUUUUCAAUUGAUAAGCAGCCUGGUGUUAGUUUGAGUCACUGUUGGUUAAAUUCGAGUUCAGUUACUUUUAUGUUGGAAAGGAAGUUGAGGUUUUGGAAAAAGAAACACGAGUUUCGAUUGUUUCAGGGAUACGAGAAAGGGAGUUUCGAUACCGUAUUUCCUCUGUUUUCUGAGGGGAUACCAAAUAUGGGUUUUCAGGGUCAUUCAUGAUUAAAUUCUGUUUUCUCUGUAAUACGUUUUGCUGUUAUUUUGAUGUAAUCAGAGUAGAAAUGUUAAGGGAAUAAAGAAGGAAGAUGCAGCUAUGGAGGGACUAGUCCAAUUUUGCCACGUCUUUAAUGUUUCUUGAAAGAAACUAAGUGGUUCUCUUCUUGGAGUUAGAAAGAGAUGAGUGGAAAUUUCUUUCUUUCUGUUUUUUCCCUCUGCGGCGACUCUUUUUCUCAGGCCACUAAAGCUGAAGAGCUGAAAUUCUUGUCUUUUAGUGUUCAAAUUCUUAUUAAAUAGUUAAGGUGUGACAUUUUGUUCAUUUCAAUUUUGGGUUUUGACAGGUGAAUUGUAGGGUAAUUUGAUUUUGUUGUUGGGAUUAUAAAUUAAAAAAGGAUGGCUUACCAGAGGAGGGGAUCGGACCUCCAACCGCAGAGGCGUAUUCUGCGGACACAGACUGCUGGUAAUCUAGGGGAGUCUAUGAUGGACAGUGAGGUGGUUCCAUCAUCACUGGUAGAGAUUGCACCAAUUCUACGUGUUGCCAAUGAGGUCGAGCCAACUAAUCCCAGGGUCGCUUAUCUCUGUGAGUCCAUGACCAUUUCAAUAUCCUUGUGUUGGUUGUUACUUAUUACACAAAUAUGUGUAUAUGACAUCUAAGCAAUCCAUCAUCUAAAAACCGUUGGUGGAUAUCAACUAAUUGGCUGUAAGAGCUGAGUGCAUGUCUCGAUGAAUUUGAAUACUGAAGGUUGUAUGGCUGUUCAGCUGAUAAUGUUGUACCAACAUGGUAUGAGAAGAAAAUAUGAGUUUAAAUGCUAUUAAUUUACUGACUGUUAUGCUACACUUCUUAAUCUCAAACUAGUGUUUCAGUCUGCACAAGUCAUACAGGGAUCAAAUACUAGUUAAAUGUUGUGGUACUAAUGCUAUCGCCCUCCUUUUUUGUGACUAUAGGAAGGAUGAUAAGUUGUUUAGACAUGCUAAUGUUUAUAUGGUUUCCUGAAAUUCACUUGUUACAAAUUUUGUCUUUUAGUAGAUGAUUAGUACUGAAAAUUUUGAGGCAUUUAGAAGGGAAUGAAUGAAAUGUAUUUACACCAUAUUACAUACUCUAAUGGCCUUGCUGGGGGACUCAGGUCGGUUUUAUGCCUUUGAGAAAGCUCACCGUUUGGAUCCAACAUCAAGUGGACGAGGAGUCCGUCAGUUCAAAACAGCCCUGCUUCAACGUUUGGAAAGGGUAAUGUCAAAUUUUCAUGAAAUUGAAAUGAAAAAAUUGUGUCUAGUUACUCGAUGUAACUUUAGAAUAUUCUAGUGCUUGUAUCAGCAAGAGGACUUUGUUAUCAGGCUAAUCCACCAUAUUUGGAUUACCCAAACAUAUUCUUGCUGCUUGUCUUCAUCUAAAGAUGAAUGAGCCAUUUCUAUUCCUACAUUUUCCAAUUAAGUUUGCCUGAGCAAAUUCGUAUAAUCUGGAUAUCUUGACAGGAAAAUGAUACAACAUUAGCUGGAAGGACAAAGAGUGAUGCUCGAGAAAUGCAGAGUUUCUAUCAGCACUACUACAGGAAGUAUAUUCAGGCGUUGCAUGCUGCUGAUAAAGCUGAUCGGUAGGUUAUCUGCAGUCGUGGGCAUUUAUUUCUUAACAGCUAAGUGCAGAUUCCUUGCUUAAUGCUUCUUUAUGAUCUCUUUUCUGUCCAGUGCUCGACUCACAAAAGCAUACCAAACUGCUGCUGUACUUUUUGAGGUCUUGAAGGCCGUUAAUUUGACAGAAGCAGUUGAAGUGGCUGAUGAGGUAUUCUACUUUCUUUCCUUGUAGAUCAUAGAUAAUCUUGAUUGUACAGGAAAGUAUACUGGCAAUUUGCAGAGGAAGUCUUUUCUAUGCAUCUGCUUGAGGAGGUUUCAUCCUGUUAAUUGCUUCAGUUCUCCAUGUACAUUUCUUCUGCAAAAGAAGUGCAAAAGGAAAAGAAAAAGAGAGUCAAUUACAAUAGUUACUCAACCUGUUAAUGACAAGUCCCUUUGCUCACGCCGAAGACAAGUUCCUCAAUUCAUACUCAAAAAAGAGUUCCUUUAGUCAUAACAGAUUAUGAUAGCAGUCUCCACUUUUUCCAGAGAUAUAGAUGCUUCCUAUUUCCUUGAUCUUACAUCUUUCCGACCGUUUAUACAUCCCUAGUUUUUAUGGAUGUAGAUUUUGGAAGCUCACACAAAGGUUACAGAGAAGACAGCAAUUUAUGUCCCUUAUAAUAUACUACCCCUGGAUCCUGACAGUGCAAGUCAAGCAAUUAUGGGAUAUCCUGAGGUUCGUUUCUAGUAAUUUCAUCAAAUUAUAGCUAAGGGCCAAUAUUCGGCAUAUUUAUGGACCUUUUGCAUUGUCACAGAUUCAAGCUUCAGUUUCCGCACUUCGUAAUAUUAGAGGACUACCAUGGCCUAAGGGUCAUAAGAAAAAAGUUGAUGAGGAUAUUUUAGAUUGGCUUCAGGUUAUGUUUGGUUUUCAGGUAAGUGCUGCUUCUGCUAGAGCUGUAUGUGUAUAUACAUGGAUGACUGAGAAGUAGGGCAUGGCCAAAUGGUUGCAUAUGCGACUGGUUGCAUAUGCGACUUAGAGAUGAACAGCAUUGCUCAUUGCUUCUUGUAAUGAUUUUAUUCGCUGAAGUAUUAUUCAUCUACAGAAGCAUAAUGUAUCAAAUCAGCGGGAACACUUAAUCUUGUUGCUGGCAAAUGUGCACAUUCGUCAAUUUCCAAAGCCUGAUCAGCAGCCCAAAGUACUUCGCUUCCAUAAUUUCACCUAAACUGCCACCCCUCAACUUUUUCUACUUUUUUUUGUGGGAUCGCCCGUGUUCUGAUGAUCUGUCCUGUAUGUCUUUGUAUUCUAGUUGGAUGACGAGGCACUUACAGAAGUUAUGAAAAAGCUCUUCAAAAACUACAAGAAAUGGUGCAAGUAUCUUGGUCGCAAGAGUAGUCUUUGGUAAGUGAAUUCACCUCCUCCUCCAUAAGUUAAUAUUCUACACUCUGCUUUUUGUUUGUAUCUUUACAUUCUUUUGCCUCAUUUUGUUGGUUUUUAGACUUCUUAUUCCAUUAUUGUCUCCAUUUGCAGGUUGCCGACAAUCCAACAAGAAGUGCAGCAAAGGAAGCUGUUAUACAUGGGCUUAUAUCUUCUUAUCUGGGGGGAGGCUGCAAAUUUACGAUUUAUGCCAGAAUGCCUCUGUUAUAUCUACCAUCAUGUACGAUUACUUUUUUCCCCCUGUUUUAUAGUGAGAUAUCCAAUCCUUUUUGUCAACUUUGAAGGUCUCUUGUUACUUUUGGCUCUCUUCCUGCCUAUUGCAACUAAAAUUCUGUAAAGUUUUGCCUUUUCUUGUAACUCUUUUCUGUUAUGCACAUAAAAUUGGAAUCUGAUUGAGUCCAGAAGAAGCAUGUCCAGUUUGUAACACAAGCACUAAAAGAUGCAGUUUUUAUAUAUUUCUCAACGCACGUAUCUGUUUCUGGUUCUGUACUAGAGCAAUUUCAUCUUAUAUCAAUGCUGUACAUGAUAUUUAGAUGAAGAACAAGUGCUUAUUUGAUUCCUUGGUUGUUAGGUUAAAAUACUAUUCCUCAAUAUGUUGAGAUCUUAUUUUAAUUGGUCUGGUGAAUUUGAGCACAGUCAGUUACAGCAUAAAAAGGAAUGGUUUUGUAUCAUCUGCAUUUAGUAACCACAGAUGGUUUAGUUUGUUUUCGAUGCAUGAUUGGACUGCCUUAACAGCUUAGUUUUCCAUAUAUAGGUGAGCCUGUUAUUUGGGUGAUCAGAACAUGUAGGGCAAUAGCUUCAGUUGCAACCCACAAAUUCCCCUGCUCUAAAGUCAUGUUCUUUUGGUGUGAAGUACAAAUUCCCUGGAAAGAUGCAUAGGGUUGGCUGUAGCUAGUGAGUUUGGAUAAUUGCUUGAUUCUUGAUGGAACUGUCUUGUCUGUAUAGCCUGAUAACAUAAAUUGUUGUGAUGAUUUGUCUGCCUGUGAUAUUCAUAAACUCCACUUUUAUGGUUAAAGGAUUGCGUUUGUUUUGAGUGUAUUCUAUUCUACUUUACAUAGAGAACUGAUGCAGAUUACGGUCUUCCUAUCUUAGCUGCAAGUCAGGUCACUUAGUAGUGUCGAAAAGAAAACUGGUAUCGGAGAAGUGAAAGGAAUUUACCAAUGGCAGCAGAAAAAUGGGUAUUAAGGAUGGUUGUGGCCUUCUUGAAUUGCUGAAGGUGUUGGGAGUUUUGUGCUUUGUUGGUAGAAGAGAGAAACACAAAGGAUCCAGCCAUUAGGGACUAGCGUCAAAUAUUAGGAAAUAAAGAGAGAAGAAGAAUAAAAAGGCAUUGUAAAAUUGAGCAUCUGCAGUAUCUUGGGGAACAUACAUAUUCACUUUCUGGGCACUGGAUUGUUGGAAACCUUGUAUGACUGUGAAUUCAAAAGAAAAAGGAAAGGCUGUUCCCAAUGAAAAACAAAUCUGAUCAACUUGUCUACAGUAGCAUAUGUAUUUCAAUGCUUGUUGAAUGCUUUAGUAUCAAGUUGUUAAGGUAUUAAAUGAACUAUGACAAAACUAUUAUUAGUAAUAAAUUUGUUGCUUCUCAAAGAACUGCACAUCCAAGCUGACAUAUUUUUCAACUUAUUAUGCUCAAGUUCUGAUUAUAUUGAAUUCAAUCAAUCUCCUCGAUAUUAAGUUAUUCUGCUGUUUAUAUUCAGAUGGCCUUUGAACUUUAUGGUCUGCUUGCUGGAAGUGUUAGUCCUACAACAGGUGAGACUAUUAAGCCUGCCUAUGGUGGUGAUGAAGAGGCUUUCCUGAAGAAAGUCGUAACUCCAAUUUAUAACACUAUAGCUGGGGUAAUUGCUUCUUGCUGGCUUCUGAGAUUCUAAACUUUCCUGUUUCCAUCUUUAGCUUAGGUGGGUUUUGUCUCUUACUGCUUUUUCUGCCACACAGGAAGCUAAAAGGAGCAAAGAUGGAAAAUCAAAGCAUGCUCAAUGGAGAAACUACGAUGAUUUAAAUGAGUACUUCUGGUAAGCUUCUUUAGAAUAGGAGUCAAUGUUUUCCAGUUCAAAAAAUGUGCAAACUCAGUAGUGCUUGGCAACAAAUUGCAGGUCAGAAAAUUGUUUCAGGCUCGGAUGGCCAAUGCGUGCUGAUUCCGACUUCUUCUGUAUUCCUGGUGAAAGGCAUCGCAGUGACAAGACUGAGGUAUAUACUAUUUUCUGAUUAUACCAUUCUUACCUCAUUAUUGUCAGUUACUAGAUCCUCUCUUUUCUAAUUGACUUUGAAGAGCAAAAUUAUUAUCCUCUAUUGGAGGCACAGUUCUUACAUUUCACUUCAGGUUUUUUUUUUUUUUUUUGUUUUUUUGUUGUUGAUAGGGCUAGACCAAAUUUUGUCUUUCAAAUAUUAUAUCCUCCUUUUAGCUGCAAAAAUAAUUGAACUUUUACCUGUCUCUGGUGAUUAGGAAAGAAGAAGAUAAAAUUAGUAAUGUUUCUGAUAAUAUGUUAAUUGGUUGGUUGAAUGGAGCUCUUUUAACGAAAUUUCCUAUUUAAAUAUAAAUGUGAAGUUACUUGUAAGUUGAGUAAACGGAACAAAUUCUCGUAAAUACUUUGUAAAGUUGUUCUUCCUUCUCUGUAUUGCAUUGAGUAUCCCUUCAUAAUCUUUGUGAAGCUAACUGUUUUUGUCCAAUUUCAAAGUGCCAAAUUCUUUCACAACAAAAAAUUCUGGAUUUUCUUAUAUGUUGAGGCAUACCCAAUUUUGAUGUCAUUAAGCCUAUUGGUAGAUAUUCAUACUAAAAUGCUCCAUAUGGUUGAGCCAAUUAACUUUUUCAUUGCUGAAGACUACAAUAUUUAGUCUUUCAGUGAUAAAGGCGCAACAGUCAGUUUGGUAAGACAGCAAAACUGGUGCUUAGAUUGCUGACUUCUAUUGGAUGAUAAUCUUUCUGAGGAUAAGAACUGAUAAAUGAUGAAAGCAGAACAGGAAAAUUGAUACUAUUUACAUUUGCAUUUCAGAAAACAUCAGAAAUACAAUGUUUGCAAUAUUCUAAUUAUGUGAAAGUUUGUUCACUGCCCUUCUCUUUCUCUUACCAGAAUAAUAUACCUUUAGCUGUAUGUUCACUAUUAAAAAGCUUUCUUCUACCUGAAAUGAUUGAUUACCUCUUUCGACUACUUGACCAUGUUAUUCAUGUCAUUCUUGUCUUUUGCAGCUUUUUAUUAAAAAUGAUUUUCUUCUUAAUCCCUAAAUUGUUCAUCCAGUUAAUUUCUCUUGGACAUUUUAUCUGUUUCUUAAUGAAGAUAGUUCACUCGUUAUCUGGAUAUAUGACCUAAAGACUUGCUCCUAUGUGGAUGUGAUGCUACCAGGAAAGUGAACGAAGUACAGGGGAUCGAUGGAUGGGAAAAAUUAAUUUUGUUGAGAUACGCUCGUUUUGGCACAUAUUUAGGAGUUUUGAUAGGAUGUGGAGCUUUUUUAUUUUGUGCUUGCAGGUAAUCAUUUUAUUUAUGUUGUGAAUAUAUUUAGCUUUUGGCUAGAGUCAGCUUACCUCCUUGAAGUUGACACUUAAUCCUUUUCGAACCUAUCAAGUUUAAAUGGGGUUAAAUUUUCCUGUUUCUAAUGGUUAUAUUUGCAAUGUCAACCAAUACUUAUUUCAAAUUUGAAUGAGAAUAAAGAUCCAUUCACAUUAUAGCACUUAUACCCCCAUUAAACCUGCUAAUUUAAAAAAAAAAAAAAGAUCCAAUGCCUAGCAGGAGAUGAAGUGGAAUGCAACUGUUGAAUGAAAAAGAGAAAAAGAAAACUGGAGAAGCCAGAAUUUUACUUCCUUUAUGUUUUUUUGUUGAGGACUUCUCAUCCUCGAGGUUGUAUCACUUGUCUUUGUUUUAUAAAAUUUGUUCUUCUAUCUUGAAAAGAAAAUCUGUACAACUUAAUAACAAAGAAAGAAGGAUUAUAUUCACUCUCUCUUUUCCAGCUCUUCAACAUCCCAAGUUUUUCCUUUCUUUCUCAUCUUCUGCUGCUAUUCAUCAACUUCUUGACACACUUGACCUAUGGCAAUAAAACAAGGACCAGGUUACUUACUUCUCAAGUUGUAGUUCCAUUAUGCUGACCAGCAACUUGUUGGGAGCAGGGGCAAAAAACGCCUGCCCAACCUAGUAAAGUGGUGGGCAACCGAACGAGUAUUGCAGUUAGGGGGUGGUCAGAAGCAUACCCCAAGCAGCCUCCUGUGAGCCCAAAAAGCGCCGGGGGGGGGGGCUGGGGAGAUACUGGCUGCCCUCCAAAGAGAUAAUACAGCUCUAGAAGGAUAUUGUGGAGGUUUCCCUACACUUUAAGAGUACUUAUAGAAAAUCCCUCAGAACCUUCUGGAAGAGCAUCAUCAGAAAACUUAUAAUUGGCCCGUUUUACUUGGAGUUGUAAUUAAGUGUCUCAGUAAUCUGUUUGUUUUUCCUUUACCUUUUUUUUUGUUUUCUAUUCCUCCAAGUAUAACACCUAUUAUGUCAUUAACACAGGCUAUGAUCAUCGUUGCUUGGAAUGGCUCAGGCGAUCUUGGUUCUGUAUUUGAGGCAAAUGUAUUCAAGAAAGUCUUGAGCAUUUUCAUAACUGCUGCAAUACUGAAACUUAUCCAAGGUGAAUGGAUAUCAUAAUCUCGUUCUGUUAGAUUACAUUUUUGUGAUGUCUUAAUGCUCUAUAUGUCAACUAAUAGUGACAUGUGCGGUCUUUCAUGUUCUUUGUUGUUAACAUUUUUGCUUGUUCAGUUAUUUCUUGAUACGUUAUUUUCAAGAUAUUCAUGCGUAUACUGGAUAUGCUUAACCUUGUUAAAAAUUCACAUUGCUACUGUAAAUGUAAUCCUGGGAAAGGAUUAGGAUUUUGACAAUCACACCAAAUGAAUCAGCAAGGUCAGCAAAAAUAGUGUUCUUAUCUGGUUUAUGGUGCUGUACUUUUGGUCCACAAUGCAUAAAACCAAAAAUGACUGCUUAAGUUUUGUAGGAAAGAGGAGGUCAUUGUGUGUCUACAUUUUUCUGUAUGCCACAUAUGCUGCACAAGAUUGUAUUUAAUGUAUGGCUUCUUUUUCAUCAUAUAUUCAGCUGUUGUGGAUGUAAUUAUGAGUUGGAAAGCAUGGCACAACAUGUCUCCACAUGUGAAGCUAAGAUAUGUAUUAAAGGUGGUUUCUGCAGCUGCUUGGGUGAUUGUUUUGCCAGUCACUUAUGCAUAUAGUUGGAAAAACACUGCUGGAAUUGCGAUGACCAUUAGGAAUUGGUUUGGAAAUGGUGCAAGUUCCCCUUCUUUCUUUAUUAUUGCAAGUCUGAUAUAUUUGUCUCCCAACAUGCUCUCUGGAUUAUUGUUUCUGUUUCCCUUCAUCCGCCGGUAUCUUGAGAAGUCGGAUUAUAAAAUCUUCAGGCUCAUUAUGUGGUGGUCUCAGGUAUAUAAGCUCAUGCAUUCUAAAUGAGUUAGUCUCCUGUAUUUUAAGCUUCAGAUAUUUUUUCUGAUUCUUAAAGUCAUCUUGUCAUGCAAUCAAUUUCCUUUGCUUGAACAAUGCAGCCUCGACUCUUUGUUGGCAGGGGGAUGCAAGAGAGUACAUUUUCUCUUUUCAAGUAAACUUUCUGAGCUUUUCUCAUUGCCUGGGAAGAUUUAUGUAUGAUGUAUCCUGAUCACUAUUAAUAAUCAUCUAUCCCAGAUACACUCUAUUUUGGGUUCUCCUAUUAGCAGCCAAGCUGGCAUUCAGUUUCUUUAUAGAGGUGAUGCCACGAAUCCUCUUUGUUUACCAUGAUUUCAUCUCACAGAAAGUAAACGAAGCUACACUUUUAGCAUGCUUUAAAUAUAAUAUUAAUCCCAGUAUUAAAUCAGUAGUCUAGUCAUGUCACGAAAAAUUUCUGUCUCUUGGCGUUCCACAUGAUUGAUUGAUUAUAUCAUAGGUAUGAUCGUGAAAAUGGAUUCUUCCACAGUUAGUAAAAUACCUAUAAAGUCAAUGGCUGUGGAUAAGAUUUAUGUAGGAGAGAAGUAUAUACUUUGUAUUUUUAAAUUACCACCAAAAAGCAGAAAAGACUUUUGUAUUCAGAUUCUUCUUUGUUCUUGGUCUUCAUGGUGCUGGACUAAAAGGUGGGUUUGAACCUAGCAAGACGAUAUGCAUAAUAAGCUGUCAUUAUACUCUAUCAAACAGAAUCCUUUAUUAACUGGGUGUAACUUGACCUUUAGCCGCAUGCAUCCCUUAUCUGUUCUUUUAGUCUUAUCCUUUUUUUUCCUGACUAGCACCAUUUAGUUUCUUGUCCAUCAAUUCACAUUUGAGAAUCGAUCAGUUUCCUUGUGUCAAUAAUCCUGUGAUAUAUAGUACGAUUUGGACAAAUUGACUCUGCAAAUAGAAAUUAAGAUAACUUGGAGGUGUAAGGGCUGCGGUGGACCAAAUUAAUGACAUAGUGUUUCAGGUAGAUUUGUAGCUGAGACCACCAUUCUGCCAUGACUGCUUUAUGUUACACAAAGUUCUUUGUUCAAGGAAAUUAAUCUGGAGGUCAGUUAUCAGCCUAGAUGUAAAAGAUAGGCUUGACAGAUUUUUAUUGCAGAUAAAGCCUCUCGUAAAUCCAACAAAAGAAAUAAUGAAGGUUCACAUAUCACGUUAUGCAUGGCAUGAGUUCUUCCCUCGAGGUAUCCAAUUAUGUAAAUCUCCCUUAGAGAUGUUGUGUAAAUGUAAAAUUGCUAUCCCUCUAAAUGUCUAUUUAUGAUCAUUUUACAGCAAAUAAAAAUAUAGGAGUGGUGAUUGCACUCUGGGCUCCUAUCAUUCUAGUAAGUUCCUGGUCAUAAUAAUACUAAUUUUUUGCAGUUCCUAAUGAGAUAAGUUGUCCUCAUUCUGAUCUUCUCUCUUGUUGCUUUAUGUCUUGCUUUCUUCAUCUUUCCUUUUCUUUUUACAAAAUGCAGUUUCAUUUUGUUCCCAGGUCUAUUUCAUGGAUAUACAGAUCUGGUAUGCUAUUUUCUCCACAAUAUUUGGCGGCAUAUAUGGAGCUUUUCGGCGUCUAGGAGAGGUUGGUUAAACUUCUCAUACUCUUAGUUUCAGUCUCUUUUUUUUUUUUGGGGGGGGGGGGAUAGUAAGGGGGGGAAUGAGAGCAGUUUUUUGUUCCUCUAAUCUUAGGAGGAAUCAGCAUUAGGUUGGUAACCUUGGCCACUUGGUACAUGGACUGAAUUUCGUGCUAUUGAAUAUCAAAGAUAUAUUUGUUGUGAAAAGACUGAAUAAUUACCCCUUAAUCAGAUCUUUUGCUUAGUUGAUACACAAUAACUGGUCCAAACAAUGAGUUGCUUAGGUACAUGUUGUAGCAAACCAGAGGGGCUGGUAAAUCUAGCAGGUGACUUUUUAGAAUUCCUACAAGGAAGCAAUAUUGGUAUUUGUUAUAAGGGUAAAGAAUGCAUUUUAUCACUCUGUGGUUCAAUUAAGCAUUUUGCAUUGCUUUAUUAUUGAUUCAUUGAUUCUCUGUUUCUCAGUAUCAGUUGAGCUUCAUUUUAAGGGAAAUUGGUAAUUUGAAAGUAUCAGUCUCUCUAUGUUUUUGAAAUGACCAUAUUGCAUUUUUUUCUGUAGAGUUCAAUCAUUUCUUUGAGACAUAGCAUGUUACACACUGUGCUCUUGCUUUCAUUAAUUUCCAAAACCUCCAUGAAUUGUUUUUGGGUUUGCUUCAUAAGACUGGUAGAGGCCUACUAUAGCUUGUUGUCUUGUCACCUAGAGUUUGGGAAGGUAGAACAAGGAGGAGGAAGGAAAAGAUAGCAAAGAAAAGAGAAAGGGGAAAGAAAGAGAGAAAUGAUGAUCUGAAAAAAAUUCAUUUAAAAAAUUGCCUGCAACUAAUGUGGCACUUUUUGUAACUUGAUGUGCUACUUGGACUGAAUGGCAAGAUAUCACGUGUUUCUAAUGUUGAGUGGCUGAAGUGUGACUUUGAACAGUUAAAUUGCCUGGAAUAGUACGUUUGAAAAAGUUUAUUGACCAUCACAGUAAUCUAAAUUAUUCUUUUUUGUUCUUUAGGAGAUCAGAUGCUUUUUGAUAUUUAGCUUAUGAAUUUGGAACAUAUCUUCUGUCAGAUAAGAACCUUAGGAAUGCUGAGGUCUCGCUUCCAGUCAUUGCCUGGUGCUUUUAAUGCCUGCUUAAUUCCUGUGGAGAAGGGUAAAAAACCUAAGAAGGGACUGAAGGCAACAUUUUCUCGGAAAUUUGAUGAGGUUCAUAUUAGUAAAAUAACUUGCUAUACUAUGUCAGAUUUGCUGUUAUUGCUUCCCCCUCCUCUUUGCUUGAUCCGAUGACUAGUCUAGGGUAUCUUCUGCACCCCCUACAUCGCGCAAUACGAUGUCCCGGCGUGGCUCAUCCACCCUUCGUGAGCACUCCCCCAUUGCCGCUGCCCCUUCUUUUGGUUUCAGACCCCUUCUCAUAAUCGAAACUCUCUGCCCACCUAAUGCUUUGCUCUGCCCUGGCAUUUUCACCGUUACUGUAUGAAGGUCUCCUCUUUGCUCUCGUUUCUUGUUACUAUAACUCUGAUUUUCCUUUCCUUUAGUUCGUUCAAAUGCCCCCUCAGGGCUUCGGAACACCAGCCCAUGGGGUGGACUGGGUAUCGCAUUGAUUUUUUCCAUGAGCACUUCCCUAGAGUCCCUCUCCACUUGGACUGGUUCAUCUUCUCCAUUGUCACUUAAAAUUCUCGCUUUUGUUAAAUGAUAAUAGAGAGAUUCAUUCUAUAACAAAUAAAAAAUUAGGCUCGAAACCUCAAGCGAAAUAAAGAAAUUAGUAAGAAAAAUCCUUGUAUAUACACAUCUCUCUAUACACACAAAUUUUGGCUUGGCAAACAUCAUAAAUUGUGUUUCAAUCUAAUUUCACAACAAUUGGUGAAACCCAUUCAUAUGCACUUGUCCAUCGUUAAACAAAUACUUAUCAAAUGAUAAGUAUGAAAUAUAAAAGUUAUUUCUAUGACUCACGACAUAGGCCACUAGCUAUUAACCUAAAUCAAUAAUUGUUUAGUAAUAUAACAAUCAUGACAAAAGAAUAAUUCGGAAAAAGAUAUUUAAAGGAAAAAAAAAGGACCUCUCAGGUUAAAGUAAGAAACUCUCCAUUCCUUAAUAAUCCACAUUGAAUUUUUUUGGAGAUUCUUAAAUGAGUUAAUAUUCUUUAGGCUAAGGGAAUUAAACAUGGUUGUAGAAUCUAUCAACAAUCGACAUAUUGAAUAAAAGUACGAAAUAGACUUUCAGUAGAUUGAAAUUGGUAAGGACAUUGAAUCUAAAUUGAAUUUGGGUAAAACCUAACACGAUAUUAUAGCUAGCUGUACUUUUUAAGCAACAAAGAACCCAAAAAAAAAAAAAGCUACAAGAAAGAAUGAUUUUAGAAGAAAUAUCUUUUAAUCUCCAAGAAAGAAUAGUAUACAAAGAAACUAUCUUGUAAUAUCCCAAAUUAUAAGUUGAUAUGACUUACAGCUUGACAUAUAAAUCUUUAAUGUAUGACUUCUAACAAAAGUGAAGUUCACUUAUUCUGAUUGUUUAUUUUUGGUAGGAUUAAAAUGAAUUAUAUUUGACAGAUACAGGUUACAAAUGAGUAACAUUGUCCCACAAAACAAACAGAAGACUAAAAUCUCAAGCUAGAAUUAAACAAGUAGACUAACAUGAGAAUAUUAAUUCUUUAACCAAAAAUUUAUUUGAGAGACUGUUAAAUCACAAUAAAAUAUUGAUCUUAUGAAAUUAUUUUGGCUAAUAAUCUUUAUCUUGUUUUAAAAUAUGAAAUCAAAGAGAGGCAGGAUCCAAUAUAAUACGUGCAUAACAUCUAUAGCAUACUUUCUUUUGGUUUUCUAAAGUGUUUCUAUAACUCAAUUCGAGCACAAUACCUACAUACAUAUCCCUUUUUACCAGAAUAUUUUCUUUAGAACAUAUAGUUAGCUAAGAAAAGACAAACCAAAUUAGCUAACUACACAUUAAUUGUUCAUUUUAUUUUUGCAUUUUCUGUUAUAAAAUGGAAUUCAUAAUUCAAGUAUCUCAUUUUGCAUUUUCUAAAACUUUUUAUGUACACAACAACCUUGCAAAUUAAUAUACUAUUAAAUUAUAAACUUAACCCUAAGCAAGACCAGGCAAUGUACAAAUCAUGUUCUCUUAUACUAAUAUGUGCAAGAUAUACCAUGUAUAACAUCUCUUCGCUGUUAGUAUAUAUAAUUCACCAACUUUUCAAUGCAGCUUGCAUUUGUUUCAAAAAAUUCUUUGUUUCUUAGAAAUUUUUGCAUUGUUUUAAAGUAGAUCCACUUAAACAAACAUUUUGAAUGACUUUAAAUUACAAAACCAAGUAAUAAUAGUGUAGAAUAUCUUUCUCUACUAUUAUUCUAUAAUGUACUAGGAAAGGAAAAGAAAACAAAAGGAACAACAUUAGAUGUAGAAGAAAAAGGAAAAAUGCCGAAAUAUCUGAAUAUUACCAUUGGAAUUAAAAAAUAAAUGGAAAUUAUAUAAAUGCCCAUGUUAUGUUAAAAAAAAUCUAAGAUAUAUUAUACUGUUGUAGAAUAUAUUAUUGGCACAUUAAGAAAAUGACAUGUGAUAUGUUUUUGUGAGAUUAUUUCAAUUUAUUAGCCAUAGUUUUUAUGUGUAUAUACUAUAAAAAUAGACGUGACUUUUAUGUAUGUCGAAUAUGUACUAAAAGCUAUUUGCUAACAUAGUUAGUGAAGAAAACUCUUUUAAAGUGGACUAAUUAUUUCUUUUAGUGUUUUUUUCCAUCUAUAUAAGAAUUGUUCUUUAUAUUUUUACAAGGUAUUACAAGAAAUUAAUUCAAGUAUAUCCUAAUUUCAUAAGUUGUUUUUAUAAUUUUUCUUUAAGACUCCUUUCUUUUAUCAUUUUACAUCAAGAAUUUGAUGUUAAAAUGUAUUUGUUUUCAUUUUUUUCAUAAAGCUAACCACCUAUCUUUUUAUUGUCUCUUUGUUGGUUACAUCCUACUUUUAUUUUCGGAAUGGUCAAUGUUUACUGAAUUUUUCCCCACAAUUAGUUUCGUCAGAGUAAAGAUUAAAAAAGUAGGCUCUUCCUUGCUUAGGUUGAUUAAUUAAAGUGCUUCAAUGUAUAUUAGAUUCAUAUAUUACUAUGAAAUAAACUCAAUCAAUUAUUUACAUUAAGGGUCUGUUUGUUUGGGUGGAAAAUAUUUUCCGGAAAACAUUUUCCACAUUUUCCGUUGUUUGGUUGUCAAUUAAUUUGAGAAAAUGAUUUCUGACGAAAAAGAACUUACACCGAGAGAAGGAAAAUAAGUUCCUUAUCUAUCAUUCUGAAAUUAUUUUCCUUUCACACAGCCUUCACCGAGAGACGAAAAAUCACGGCCUUACUCCACCACCCAUUGAGACGAUUGAAGACCCAACCCACCACCAAGCAAAGUUAUAUUGCAAAAACCCACUCUCUUCUCUAACACUUUCAAAGUUGUCUUGCAAAAACCCAGCGAGUUGAGAAAUGAUUGACGACCAGUGAUUGAAAACCCAUCGGUAAAUCUAUCCUUCUUUGCUGGCGGCAUUUUACUUUCCUGCUAAUAUCAUGAUCGGAAUGCCCAAAUUGUGCAUGGUCUAAAAGGAGAAGAAUGACAUUUUGAAAUGGCCUUAGUAGAGGGGAUGCCAAAUAAUAAGUGAACUAAAGAAAACCUUGCAUUUGGUUUCUUGAGAAAUCUUUUUCAUACUGCCCUUGAUACGCUGCAUCAAUGACAGACAAUAAUGUGUAAAAUUCUUUCACCGGAUUGAGAUGUUAAUGGAGCUGCAAGUAGCCUGUAGCUAUUUGCGCAAGUAAUUUCUUGGUAGGGCUUAAGAGAGAGCGUGAGAUUCUUUUUCCGCUUGUUCUUGGAUGUGAAAUUUUUUGGCCAUGACUUUGUAUGGACAUGACAAAUGAACCCAUCCCUUCUACCUCACAAGUGGUCCUUUUCCAUUUAAUACAAUGGUUCCCUAUUCUUAUCUUGCACUCUCUUUUACUUUCUUCUCUUAUCCUGCCCACCUAUUUUCUUUCCUUCUCUCCAACUCCCAAAAGAACCUCAGCUGAACAAAAGCAUCAAGAGGCAUCCCCACCUGCAUAAAACUUCCCUACUGAACUUGAAAAACUAGUAAGAAGGCACAAAAGUAUUAUUCAGGAUCUUCAAGCAAGAGGGAUAAUGUCUGCUUCUUCUUCUUCUGUAGUAUGGAGCAGAGAAGAAGACAUAGCUUUUGAGAGCGCCAUUGCCAUGCACUGGACUGGGGACUCUAAGGAACAGUGGGACAAGAUUGCUUCUAUGGUUCCUAAUAAAAGCAUUGAUGAGUUGAAGCAACACUAUAAAACACUUGUUGAAGAUGUUGAAGCAAUUGAAG
Molecule: long non-coding RNA, 40728 nt
Filed under: Coffea arabica (coffee)
Lineage: Eukaryota; Viridiplantae; Streptophyta; Magnoliopsida; Gentianales; Rubiaceae
Description: long non-coding RNA (CARA_LNC001726)
Source: RNAcentral